RNAcentral lists this microRNA precursor (52 nucleotides) under Callithrix jacchus (white-tufted-ear marmoset). RNAcentral describes it as "mir-1302 microRNA precursor family". It matches the Rfam family "mir-1302 microRNA precursor family". The record is from Rfam by way of RNAcentral. Lineage: Eukaryota; Metazoa; Chordata; Mammalia; Primates; Cebidae.
UUUUUAGUAAAAGUAUGUCCCAUGCAAUAUAUGGGACAUACUUAUACUGAAC